UCUGGCACCAUAUAACGCCACGUCACGAGCUUCCUGCGAGCCGUCGGAUCGUCGCUUCAUGUAUCGUGCGUCUGUAUCAUAGGCCACGCGUACUAAGGCUUCCGAACUCUUCCAGACGUCGCUCGAACAAAUCAGCGGCGACGUAGUAAACCAAACAGCCAGGUCCAAAUAGAACCAAAAUUGCCAAAACUGACGGAAACACACCGGCGACGAAGAAGAAGAACAAACAAGCAAUCGAAGCCUCGGAAGGAACGCACCAGCGAUGAAGAGGAGGAAUCAAAUCAAAAGGUCAUACAGGGGAACACAUGUAGUCGUUCAAGAUUCACUAUUUCUACCAGGACUGCUUGGAUUCAACCGAUCAGGACUGCAGCAGACUCACUUAGUGCAUCAACGUUGCAACAAAGAUUCCUUGCAAAUUCCAUAGCAAUGGGAGUAAUCAUUCUGGGCUUGUUGCGGGCAUUUAUUUUGUAGCAUUACAUCAGAUGCAAUGAUGAGUUCUCUUUUGAAAACACAACUGUUACCUCAAAUUGCAAAAUGUAAGUUAUAGUUAGGCUACAUAAUUGAUUCCAUCUCCAGCCAUGCAAAACUGAAUCUUGAGUUGCCACUAAUGUUUGAAACUGACCCUGGAAAGAGAACCUUGGGCUCCUAUCUGUAACUGCUGGUGAUGACAAAAUUUUUCCCAUACUGUUUUGAUUUCA
Long non-coding RNA from Panicum virgatum (switchgrass), 698 nucleotides. RefSeq lists it as uncharacterized. The transcript is spliced from 3 exons. The record is from RefSeq and is a predicted model, not a curated record. Lineage: Eukaryota; Viridiplantae; Streptophyta; Magnoliopsida; Poales; Poaceae.